UGGGGAAUUUUGGACAAUGGGGGAAACCCUGAUCCAGCCAUCCCGCGUGUGCGAUGAAGGCCUUCGGGUUGUAAAGCACUUUUGGCAGGAAAGAAACGUCAUGGGUUAAUACCCCGUGAAACUGACGGUACCUGCAGAAUAAGCACCGGCUAACUACGUGCCAGCAGCCGCGGUAAUACGUAGGGUGCAAGCGUUAAUCGGAAUUACUGGGCGUAAAGCGUGCGCAGGCGGUUCGGAAAGAAAGAUGUGAAAUCCCAGAGCUCAACUUUGGAACUGCAUUUUUAACUACCGGGCUAGAGUGUGGCAGAGGGAGGUGGAAUUCCGCGUGUAGCAGUGAAAUGCGUAGAUAUGCGGAGGAACACCGAUGGCGAAGGCAGCCUCCUGGGAUAACACUGACGCUCAUGCACGAAGGCGUGGGGAGCAAACAGG
Molecule: ribosomal RNA, 429 nt
Filed under: Acidobacteriota bacterium
Lineage: Bacteria; Pseudomonadati; Acidobacteriota
Description: Acidobacteria bacterium partial 16S ribosomal RNA
Rfam family: Bacterial small subunit ribosomal RNA
Source: RNAcentral